Molecule: long non-coding RNA, 693 nt
Organism: Prosopis cineraria
Lineage: Eukaryota; Viridiplantae; Streptophyta; Magnoliopsida; Fabales; Fabaceae
Exons: 2
Source: RefSeq, a predicted model, not a curated record
CUGAUUAUGAGGCAGAGAAAUGGAUGCCUGGAUCAGGAUCUGGAUGAGAUCGAGCUUGCUAUUGAGGCCGUUAACGCGGAAUCCUCUCGGAACUUAACAGGCUGGUCACUAUACUGGAUAAAGAUAGUGACGAUGUUGUGCUGUAGAUAUUGACUAUGGAUUUCAAUUUGGUGGUAGCUGCUAUUGGAUAUUGUGCACUCAGUACCUGGUUGAGUUUGAGAUUUGACAGGAAUGUAAAUGAAACCUGGUGGUAGAUCAGCAAAGAGUAAUAAUGUUUCCUGAAAAAUUUUCAGAACCGUCUCUUGAGACCUUAGGAAUGAGAAUGAUCAGAGAGAUGUGUUGGACACGAAGAUGGAUGACUUAUGCGUCUUGGAGGAGAUGCGUUUGUGAAUCCGAGACAGCAAUUGGAGUUUCUGGGAUCACUAGAUGGAUGGGGCCUUGCUUAUGAAGAUAUGAACUCACCUGACAGUCAAAAAUGACACACACACACACACACACACAUUCAUUCAAUUUCCAUCAACCAGUCUAUUUCAGUAUUUCUUUUCUCAUCCAUUAAUUAAUAUCAAGUGGGUCAAGAUUUUUUGGGCGGAAACCAGUACACAUCUCUUGCGAUUUGAAUGGUUCCAUAACUACUUGUAUUUCUAUAUAUAUAAUAUAUAUUCUACCUUUCCGGAGCUUUAACUCCAUGUGAAA